UCACUUCUUAGCGAAGGUUUCCUGGACCAAAGAAAGAGGUAUCGAAAGGUUGGUUCAAUCAGAGAGAGAGACAACUA
RNAcentral lists this transfer RNA (77 nucleotides) under Markhamia cauda-felina. RNAcentral describes it as "tRNA-Asp". Lineage: Eukaryota; Viridiplantae; Streptophyta; Magnoliopsida; Lamiales; Bignoniaceae. The record is from RNAcentral.